This 659-nucleotide ribosomal RNA is filed under the name uncultured bacterium. RNAcentral describes it as "bacterial SSU rRNA". It matches the Rfam family "Bacterial small subunit ribosomal RNA", at positions 98 to 778 of the family's 1533-position model. The record is from RNAcentral.
GCGGACGGGUGAGUAACGCGUGGGGUCGUGCCCUUUGCUACGGAAUAUUCCCGGGAAACUGGGUUUAAUACCGGAGGUGCCCUCCGUUUUGGUGAUGGGUGGGGAGAGAUUUAUCGGCAAAGGAUCGGCCCGCGUUGGAUUAUGUAGUUGGUGGGGUAAUGGCCUACCUAGCCGACUAUCCAUAGCUGGUUUGAGAGGAUGAUCAACCACACUGGGACUGAGACACGGCCCAGACUCCUACGGGAGGCACCAGUGGGGAAUCUUAGACAGUGGGGGCAACCCUGAUCUAGCCAUGCCGCGUGAGUGAUGAAGGCCUUAGGGUUGUAAAGCUCUUUCAGCUGGGAAGAUAAUGACGGUACCAGCAGAAGAAGCCCCGGCUAGCUCCGUGCCCGCAGCCGCGGUAAUACGGAGGGGGCUAGCGUUGUUCGGAAUUACUGGGCGUACAGCGCACUGUAGGCGGACUGGAAAGUUGGGGGUGAAAUCCCGGGGCUCAACCUCGGAACUGCCUUCAAACUAUCACUCUGGAGUUCGAGAGAGGUGAGUGGAAUUCCUAGUGUAGAGGUGAAAUUCGAAAAUAUUCGGAGGAUCACCAUUGGCGAAGGCGGCUCACUGGCUCGAUACUGACUCUGAGGUGCGAAAGCGUGCGGAGCAAACAGGAU